GACGAACGCUGGCGGCGUGCCUAAUACAUGCAAGUUGAGCGCUGAAGGUUGGUACUUGUACCAACUGGAUGAGCAGCGAACGGGUGAGUAACGCGUGGGGAAUCUGCCUUUGAGCGGGGGACAACAUUUGGAAACGAAUGCUAAUACCGCAUAAAAACUUUAAACACAAGUUUUAAGUUUGAAAGAUGCAAUUGCAUCACUCAAAGAUGAUCCCGCGUUGUAUUAGCUAGUUGGUGAGGUAAAGGCUCACCAAGGCGAGGAUACAUAGCCGACCUGAGAGGGUGAUCGGCCACAUUGGGAAGGAGACACGGCCCAAACUCCUACGGGAGGCAGCAGUAGGGAAUCUUCGGCAAUGGACGAAAGUCUGACCGAGCAACGCCGCGUGAGUGAAGAAGGUUUUCGGAUCGGAAAACUCUGUUGGUAGAGAAGAACGUUGGUGAGAGUGGAAAGCUCAUCAAGUGACGGUAACUACCCAGAAAGGGACGGCUAACUACGUG
Molecule: ribosomal RNA, 497 nt
Filed under: uncultured bacterium
Lineage: Bacteria
Description: partial 16S ribosomal RNA
Rfam family: Bacterial small subunit ribosomal RNA
Source: RNAcentral